RNAcentral lists this ribosomal RNA (293 nucleotides) under uncultured bacterium. RNAcentral describes it as "partial 16S ribosomal RNA". It matches the Rfam family "Archaeal small subunit ribosomal RNA", at positions 455 to 747 of the family's 1478-position model. The record is from RNAcentral.
GUGCCAGCCGCCGCGGUAAUACCGGCAGCCCGAGUGAUGGCCGAUCUUAUUGGGCCUAAAGCGUCCGUAGCUGGCUGCGCAAGUCCGUCGGGAAAUCCACUCGCCCAACGAGUGGGCGUCCGGUGGAAACUGCGUGGCUUGGGACCGGAAGGCGCGACGGGUACGUCCGGGGUAGGAGUGAAAUCCCGUAAUCCUGGACGGACCGCCGAUGGCGAAAGCACCUUGGAAGGACGGAUCCGACAGUGAGGGACGAAAGCUAGGGUCUCAAACCGGAUUAGAAACCCCUGUAGUCC